GGAGGUGAAAAUUUUUCAAAACUGGAGACUGAUUUGCUACAAACCUCCUGGAAGUUUUUUCGAGUACCGUAGCAAGUGCUCAGAGCAAUUCUUAAUUCAGUGGGAUCAACAGCUUCUCCGCGAUUCUUGGCAGCAAUUAUGCCAAAAAAGGCACAGACAAUGCAGGGAUCUUCAUCGUGCUCUUCAACUUUAUCUAAUAACUUUUUACAUUCCUCUUGAAAUUCUCGUAGGUUCCAUAGGGACUGCAUUACCACAUAAAAGAAAAAAAAAUAUUCAGGAGUGACAGAAAGUGAAACAAGAAGUGACCAUCUUUCCAGUAGCAGAUGACAGAAAAUCAUCUGGUUAUGGAAUGAUAACCCAUCAUUCCAGUAGUAUGUGACAGAAAACAUUUGGUUAUGGAAUGAUAACCUGUAUAAUCGUAUAUAGAAUGCUAUUAGCAGCUUCUUUUCCAAGUCCAGUUCCAAGCAAAUUGACAUUGAACCUAGCCUCAUGCUCAAGUUGAAGCUGAUAGUUCACAUUUUCUUCAAGCAAUUUUUUGUCGGCCGCAAUCGAUUGUUGCAGAUCAUCAGCUCUUUCAUCCUUCUCAGAAUUUGGAUUGUCACUGUUAACCAAGAACAGAAGUACUGGUAGUAAGCGUUUUCUGCUGCAGGUAGAAAUCACAUCAUCCCAGGAGCCAGUAACCUACAUAUGCACAUGACACAAAUCUGGAUUACAGAAAGGGGAAAAAAAAAAGGAAUAUAUAUAUAUAUAUAAAAGAAAUCACAAAAAAAAAAGGGAAUCUCAGCACCCUCUGAACGUACCUCCACAUUUGAUUCACUAUGCUGAACAUAAUGUUUAUCAUGCUGAUCAUCAUAAAGAAAGCAGACAGAAUGUUGUCGAUCACUAGAACAGCAAACCUGGAAAUGAAUGACAAAAAACUUUUAAUUGCAACAUGGGCACACGGUUUCAAUUUAUAACUUGAGAAGGUUCAAGUACAUGAAAUUUACCAUUGAAACGAUGAAAUAUGUGUAAUCAGGCACGUAUCCUUGAAAUAACUUGCUUACAUCCACCUCAUUAGAUAGAGCACUCAAGGUUGUUGAUAUAUCUUCUGAACUCUGGUCACCUCUCGGCCAAUAUAUAACUGCAAUUUCAAUCCAUAUGUAACUUAAGAAUAACUAAAUUGUUGAUCAUAUGACAAUUUGUCUGCUUUUUAAUGACAAUUGAGAUCUAGCAUACUGGCUGUCAAGACAUGUGGAGGACACCAAGGAGCACGGUUAAUAAGGUUUAGUUGUCCGCAGCCACAAGUCAUUCGCCCAAUUAUCCCCACCAGCUCUAAAAGCUCUUCAUCAGACAUAUCCCUAUGUUUAUUCUGAGUUAAAAGGACAAUGCCCAAAACAUCAAAAACAAGGACUAAAACAUCUGUAUUCCAAAAAAAUAAGUGGGGACUUGUCAAUGGAUAAUUCCAACUCAACUUACCGCAAGGACUCUGAGUUUGUCUGCAUUUAGAGAAAGAACAAGGUGAGUAUUCUUUCGAUAUCCCGAUCUAAUGUGACAGUUGAUGCAUUCUAUACUUUCAAAAAGAUCCAUUCCAAAUAUUCUAUGCACCAAACAACUAGAGUUUAUGCAAUCCAAACUCCCCUCGUACAUGUCUUCUGGUUCGUCAUCAGAAUUAACAGCAUAAAAUGCCACGUGAAGAGCUUUCAAGAUAACUAUAAGGAAAAAAGAAGCAUCCUUCACUCGUCCCUGGAAAGGAAGCAUUUGAAUGAGGGUAAGUAUUAAGGAACCAACCGAAAGACAAUAAAGAACAGCAACGGCUUAUAUAUCAUUUCAAGUUCUGCAUUCUCAUGGAGGUGAAAAUUUUUUUAAAACUCAAGACUGAUUUGCUACAAACCAAUUGCAAGUUGUUUUGGUUCCAGUGGCAGUAGCUCAAAGCAAUUCUUAAUUCAGUAGGAUCAACAGCUUCUCUGCGAUUCUUGGCAGCAAAUAUGCCAAAAAAGGCACAGACAAUGCAGGGAGUUCCAACGUGCCUAUGAUCUGCAUCUAAUUUCUUCUUGCAUUCCCCUUGAAAUUCUCGUAGGUUCCAUAGGGACUGCAUUACCACAUAACAGAAAAACAAGAAAAAGAAACAAGAAGCGACCAUCAUUCCAGCAGCAGAUGACAGAAAUUCAUCUAGUUGUCGAAUGAUAAC
Molecule: long non-coding RNA, 2167 nt
Filed under: Citrus x clementina
Lineage: Eukaryota; Viridiplantae; Streptophyta; Magnoliopsida; Sapindales; Rutaceae
Description: Citrus clementina (C. clementina) long non-coding RNA (CCLE_LNC004006)
Source: RNAcentral